Molecule: ribosomal RNA, 482 nt
Filed under: uncultured bacterium
Lineage: Bacteria
Description: partial 16S ribosomal RNA
Rfam family: Bacterial small subunit ribosomal RNA
Source: RNAcentral
AUUGAACGCUGGCGGCAUGCCUUACACAUGCAAGUCGAACGGUAACGGGCCUUCGGGUGCCGACGAGUGGCGAACGGGUGAGUAAUACAUCGGAACGUGCCCGAUCGUGGGGGGUAACGCGGCGAAAGCUUUGCUAAUACCGCAUACGAUCUACGGAUGAAAGCAGGGGACCGCAAGGCCUUGCGCGGACGGAGCGGCCGAUGGCAGAUUAGGUAGUUGGUGGGAUAAAAGCUUACCAAGCCGACGAUCUGUAGCUGGUCUGAGAGGAUGAUCAGCCACACUGGGACUGAGACACGGCCCAGACUCCUACGGGAGGCAGCAGUGGGGAAUUUUGGACAAUGGGCGCAAGCCUGAUCCAGCCAUGCCGCGUGCAGGAUGAAGGCCUUCGGGUUGUAAACUGCUUUUGUACGGAACGAAAAGCCUUCUUUUAAUACAGGAGGGUCAUGACGGUACCGUAAGAAUAAGCACCGGCUAACUACGUG